Molecule: ribosomal RNA, 252 nt
Filed under: uncultured bacterium
Lineage: Bacteria
Description: partial 16S ribosomal RNA
Rfam family: Bacterial small subunit ribosomal RNA
Source: RNAcentral
UACGGGGGGGUAAGCGUUGUUCGGAAUUACUGGGCGUAAAGGGCGCGUAGGCGGCCUGCUAAGUCGAACGUGAAAUCCCCGGGCUCAACCCGGGAACUGCGUCCGAUACUGGCAGGCUUGAAUCCGGGAGAGGGAUGUGGAAUUCCAGGUGUAGCGGUGAAAUGCGUAGAUAUCUGGAGGAACACCGGUGGCGAAGGCGGCAUCCUGGACCGGUAUUGACGCUGAUGCGCGAAAGCCAGGGGAGCAAACGGG